AGCCCCUAGAAGUAUGGCAGGUAUGGCCACUGUGUCAUAUGUGAGUCAAUCAGGAUGUAGCAGUGGAGACAGGUGAUGUCUAUGCUCAAUUUUCUGACCUAUGAACAUCUGAAUUAUUAGUAGCCUAACAUU
This is a small nucleolar RNA of Meriones unguiculatus (Mongolian gerbil), 132 nucleotides long. Lineage: Eukaryota; Metazoa; Chordata; Mammalia; Rodentia; Muridae. The record is from Ensembl.